CCUGUCUAGCCAUUUCCAUGUGAGCUUCUCAGUAAUGAUCAUUCAAUAUAUUAACCCUUACCGCGCUUCCUUUUACCUUUUAAUUAACCACCACAUAGAUAGGUGAUUGCUGUACUACGAGCAUGCUUUAUCGUACAUACCUCAACGUCAAGGCCGAAUUGACUAAUGGCUUACCCUGUGUGCAUUUCUGACAGUAUGUCUAGUCUUCAUCUUGGUCACAACCUAUG
Non-coding RNA from Pelobates cultripes (western spadefoot toad), 227 nucleotides. The record is from the annotation of a GenBank genome assembly. Lineage: Eukaryota; Metazoa; Chordata; Amphibia; Anura; Pelobatidae.